AAAAACCUCAGUGAUCUACUGAAGAACCCACAAUUCAAGCUGGAAAUACUAGUUCUGUGUAAAUGCAGUAUUAAAGAGAAGCAGUGUGUCUCCCUGACUUCAGCUCUGAAAUCAAACCCAUCACACCUGAGAGAACUGGACCUGAGUGGGAAUGAAGUAGGAGACUCUGGAGUUGAAAACCUGGGUGUUCUGUUGAUCAGUUCACAAAGCAAGCUGGAGAAACUACAUCUGUGUGGAUGCAGAAUUACAGAGAAACAGUGUCUCAUCCUGACUUCAGCUC
Molecule: long non-coding RNA, 280 nt
Organism: Carassius auratus (goldfish)
Lineage: Eukaryota; Metazoa; Chordata; Actinopteri; Cypriniformes; Cyprinidae
Exons: 3
Source: RefSeq, a predicted model, not a curated record